This 66-nucleotide transfer RNA is filed under the name Altiverruca navicula. RNAcentral's name for it is "tRNA-Phe". The record is from RNAcentral. Lineage: Eukaryota; Metazoa; Arthropoda; Thecostraca; Verrucomorpha; Verrucidae.
ACUAAAAUAGCUUAAUAAAAGCAUUACAUUGAAGUUGUGAGGUUGAAUAAAUAUUUUCUUUUAGUG